CGCGGCCUAUCAGCUUGUUGGUGGGGUAAUGGCCUACCAAGGCGACGACGGGUAGCCGGCCUGAGAGGGUGACCGGCCACACUGGGACUGAGACACGGCCCAGACUCCUACGGGAGGCAGCAGUGGGGAAUAUUGCACAAUGGGCGAAAGCCUGAUGCAGCGACGCCGCGUGAGGGAUGACGGCCUUCGGGUUGUAAACCUCUUUCAGCUCUGAAGAAGCGAAAGUGACGGUAGGAGCAGAAGAAGCACCGGCUAACUACGUGCCAGCAGCCGCGGUAAUACGUAGGGUGCGAGCGUUGUCCGGAAUUAUUGGGCGUAAAGAGCUUGUAGGCGGUUUGUCGCGUCUGCUGUGAAAACUCAGAGCUUAACCCUGAGCCUGCAGUGGGUACGGGCAGACUAGAGUGUGGUAGGGGAGACUGGAAUUCCUGGUGUAGCGGUGGAAUGCGCAGAUAUCAGGAGGAACACCGAUGGCGAAGGCAGGUCUCUGGGCCAUAACUGACGCUGAGAAGCGAAAGCGUGGGGAGCGAACAGGAUUAGAUACCCUGGUAGUCCACGCCGUAAACGUUGGGCGCUAGGUGUGGGGCUCAUUCCACGAGUUCCGUGCCGCAGCUAACGCAUUAAGUGCCCCGCCUGGGGAGUACGG
RNAcentral lists this ribosomal RNA (643 nucleotides) under uncultured bacterium. RNAcentral describes it as "bacterial SSU rRNA". It matches the Rfam family "Bacterial small subunit ribosomal RNA", at positions 232 to 885 of the family's 1533-position model. The record is from RNAcentral.